AUCUUCAGGGCAGGGUGAAAUUCCCUACCGGCGGUAAAGCCCGCGAGCCUUAUGGCAUGACUCGGUUAGAUUCCGAGGCCGACAGUAAAGUCUGGAUGGAAGAAGAUA
Molecule: non-coding RNA, 108 nt
Filed under: uncultured Terrisporobacter sp.
Lineage: Bacteria; Bacillati; Bacillota; Clostridia; Peptostreptococcales; Peptostreptococcaceae
Description: FMN riboswitch (RFN element)
Rfam family: FMN riboswitch aptamer (RFN element)
About the family: The RFN element is a highly conserved domain that is found frequently in the 5'-untranslated regions of prokaryotic mRNAs that encode for flavin mononucleotide (FMN) biosynthesis and transport proteins. This element is a metabolite-dependent riboswitch that directly binds FMN in the absence of proteins.
Source: RNAcentral